GUGAUGAAGAUGGUUUGCUUGGUUUCGACGUACAUAGUGAUGGCCAUGGCCAAAGGCAACUAACUGUUCUAGCAAGAGAUGAGCGAAUGGAGAUCACCUCAAGCAUGAAUGGUUAUUGCGUCUCAAGACUAGCUCGAGGUGAC
Molecule: long non-coding RNA, 143 nt
Organism: Zingiber officinale
Lineage: Eukaryota; Viridiplantae; Streptophyta; Magnoliopsida; Zingiberales; Zingiberaceae
Exons: 3
Source: RefSeq, a predicted model, not a curated record